UGGAUGAUGUUCUUUAAUUCGAUGCAACGCGAAAAACCUUACCCACCUUUGACAUGUACGGAAUCCUUUAGAGAUAGAGGAGUGCUCGAAAGAGAGCCGUAACACAGGUGCUGCAUGGCUGUCGUCAGCUCGUGUCGUGAGAUGUUGGGUUAAGUCCCGCAACGAGCGCAACCCUUGCCAUUAGUUGCUACGAAAGGGCACUCUAAUGGGACUGCCGGUGACAAACCGGAGGAAGGUGGGGAUGACGUCAAGUCCUCAUGGCCCUUAUAGGUGGGGCUAGAAACGUCAUACAAUGGCCGGUACAAAGGGUCGCUAAGCCGCGAGGUGGAGCCAAUCCCAUAAAGCCGGUCGUAGUCCGGAUCGCAGUCUGCAACUCGACUGCGUGAAGUCGGAAUCGCUAGUAAUCGUGGAUCAGCAUGUCACGGUGAAUACGUUCCCGGGUCUUGUACACACCGCCCGUCACACCAUGGGAGCGGGUCUCGCCAGAAGUAGGUAGCCUAACCGCAAGGAGGGCGCUUACCACGGCGGGGUUCGUGACUGGGGUGAAGUCGUAACAAGGUAGCCGUAUCGGAAGGUGCGGCUGGAUCACCUCCUU
Molecule: ribosomal RNA, 595 nt
Filed under: uncultured bacterium
Lineage: Bacteria
Description: bacterial SSU rRNA
Rfam family: Bacterial small subunit ribosomal RNA
Source: RNAcentral